UAGGGAAUCUACGGCAAUGGACGAAAGUCUGACUGAGCAACGCCGCGUGAGUGAAGAAGGUUGUCGGAUCGUAAAACUCUGUUGUUAGAGAAGAACAAGGACGUUAGUAACUGAACGUCCCCUGACGGUAUCUAACCAGAAAGCCACGGCUAACUACGUGCCAGCAGCCGCGGUAAUACGUAGGUGGCAAGCGUUGUCCGGAUUUAUUGGGCGUAAAGCGAGCGCAGGCGGUUUCUUAAGUCUGAUGUGAAAGCCCCCGGCUCAACCGGGGAGGGUCAUUGGAAACUGGGAGACUUGAGUGCAGAAGAGGAGAGUGGAAUUCCAUGUGUAGCGGUGAAAUGCGUAGAUAUAUGGAGGAACACCAGUGGCGAAGGCGGCUCUCUGGUCUGUAACUGACGCUGAGGCUCGAAAGCGUGGGGAGCAAACAGG
Molecule: ribosomal RNA, 429 nt
Filed under: Gemmatimonadota bacterium
Lineage: Bacteria; Pseudomonadati; Gemmatimonadota
Description: Gemmatimonadetes bacterium partial 16S ribosomal RNA
Rfam family: Bacterial small subunit ribosomal RNA
Source: RNAcentral